AUCUUCGCAUUUACCUCUUUUUCGAUGGGACAGCGUGUGAGGUCAAAAACACCCACCUCGCUAGGACGAAGCAGCAUCCACCAGACAUCAACAGUCAGUCUUCUGGAAUGCAACUCAAUCUCCCGAAACACAAAGUUCAGUAUCCCCAACAAUGAGGACAACCACACUGGAUUCUCCAUCACGAGCAGGAAUCAGAGUGCAGCGCAACCCAAAAAGUAUUAUAGGUACGAAUCUUCUAAAAAUUUAAGGGGCUUAUGAAUAGGGCAUUUAACCAGGUGAUGCAUAAAAUUCUGCAACAACAUGGGAACUCCAACAUGAUGGAAAUCGUUUUUGAUGCUCUGCAGGAAGCAGCAGAAACUUAUAUAGUGAAUCUAUUCGAAGAUGUUAAUCUCUGUGUACACUAUUCAGAGGGCGCGUUACACUACAUCCUAAAGACAUCCAGCUUCUUCAAAUCAUCAGGAAUGGAAUUUAACCAAAUAAUAAAUCAAUUUGAAUUAUAAUCGUUUAAUUUAAAUCACUAGAUUUUCAUUAUUUUGUAGAAGAGAAAAUGAGACGUACUCUCAUUUAUUGGCGACAGAAUAAAAAAAACACACAGUUUGAGUAAAACUCUAUUUAAUCUGUGGGACAUACAAUGCAAUGUACUAAAUUAUACGGUGUAAAAUAAAGAAAAGCACCUGAUGAA
Long non-coding RNA from Lutzomyia longipalpis, 682 nucleotides. RefSeq lists it as uncharacterized. The record is from RefSeq and is a predicted model, not a curated record. The transcript has 3 exons. Lineage: Eukaryota; Metazoa; Arthropoda; Insecta; Diptera; Psychodidae.